RNAcentral lists this ribosomal RNA (468 nucleotides) under uncultured bacterium. Its description in RNAcentral is "partial 16S ribosomal RNA". The stretch from base 64 to 468 matches the Rfam family "Bacterial small subunit ribosomal RNA", at positions 39 to 507 of the family's 1533-position model. The record is from RNAcentral.
GGGGGGGGGGGGGGGGGGGGGGGGGGGGGGGGGGGGGGCGGGGGGGGGCGUGGGGGGGGGGGGGGGGCGAGUGGGGGGCGGGGGGGGAAGACGUGGGUGACCUGCACGUGACUUGGGGAUAACGGCAGGACCGUGGGGCUAAUUCCGGGUGGGAGCUCCGGCUGCAUUGUGGGGGUUGUAAAGUUUAGGCGGUUGGGGAUGGAGUCGCGGCUUCUCGUCUUGUUGGUGUGGUAGUGGCUUACCAAGGCUCUGACGUGUAGCCAGCCUGCGAGUGUGACCGGCCAUAUUGGGACUGGGAUAAGGCCCAGACGCCUACGGGAGGCAGCAGUGGGGAAUAUUGCACAAGGGGCGGAAGCCUGAUGCAGCAACGCCGCGUGCGGGAUGACGGCCUUCGGGUUGUAACCCGCUUUCGCCUGUGACGAAGCGUGAGUGACGGUAAUGGGUAAAGAAGCAACGGCUAACUACGUG